GCAUCGGUGGUUCAGCGGUAGAAUGCUCGCCUGCCACGCGGGCGGCCCGGGUUCGAAUCCCGGCCCAUGCA
RNAcentral lists this transfer RNA (71 nucleotides) under Heliconius melpomene (postman butterfly). RNAcentral describes it as "tRNA HMEL012137". It matches the Rfam family "tRNA". From Rfam's summary of the family: Transfer RNA (tRNA) molecules are approximately 80 nucleotides in length. Their secondary structure includes four short double-helical elements and three loops (D, anti-codon, and T loops). The record is from RNAcentral. Lineage: Eukaryota; Metazoa; Arthropoda; Insecta; Lepidoptera; Nymphalidae.